AGACCCGAAACCCGGUGAUCUAGCCAUGGGCAGGUUGAAGGUUGGGUAACACUAACUGGAGGACCGAACCGACUAAUGUUGAAAAAUUAGCGGAUGACCUGUGGCUGGGGGUGAAAGGCCAAUCAAACCGGGAGAUAGCUGGUUCUCCCCGAAAGCUAUUUAGGUAGCGCCUCGUGAAUUCAUCUCCGGGGGUAGAGCACUGUUUCGGCUAGGGGGCCAUCCCGGCUUACCAACCCGAUGCAAACUGCGAAUACCGGAGAAUGUUAUCACGGGAGACACACGGCGGGUGCUAACGUCCGUCGUGAAGAGGGAAACAACCCAGACCGCCAGCUAAGGUCCCAAAGUCAUGGUUAAGUGGGAAACGAUGUGGGAAGGCCCAGACAGCCAGGAUGUUGGCUUAGAAGCAGCCAUCAUUUAAAGAAAGCGUAAUAGCUCACUGGUCGAGUCGGCCUGCGCGGAAGAUGUAACGGGGCUAAACCAUGCACCGAAGCUGCGGCAGCGAACGUAUCACUUAAAGCGAUUCAGCGGGUUACGAUUGACGGAGCGAAGCGACGUCAAAGCGUAUACAAAGUCGAGUCGGUUUAAGGAUACGUUCGUUGGGUAGGGGAGCGUUCUGUAAGCCUG
Molecule: ribosomal RNA, 624 nt
Filed under: Salmonella enterica subsp. enterica serovar Infantis
Lineage: Bacteria; Pseudomonadati; Pseudomonadota; Gammaproteobacteria; Enterobacterales; Enterobacteriaceae
Also listed under: 12 other names
Description: partial 23S ribosomal RNA
Rfam family: Bacterial large subunit ribosomal RNA
Source: RNAcentral